Molecule: ribosomal RNA, 390 nt
Filed under: uncultured bacterium
Lineage: Bacteria
Description: bacterial SSU rRNA
Rfam family: Bacterial small subunit ribosomal RNA
Source: RNAcentral
AUUGAACGUUGGCGGCAGGCCUAAAACAUGCAAGUCGAACGGUAACAGCGGGAGCUUGCUCCCGGCUGACGAGUGGCGGACGGGUGAGUAACACGUAGGAAUCUACCUAGUAGUGGGGACGAACCCGGGAAACCCGGGCGUAAUACCGCAUACGCUCUACGGAGGAAAGGACGGGGGAGUCGUUCGGACCUCGCGCUAUUGGAGGAGCCUGCGUCGGAUUAGCUAGUUGGUGGGGUAAAGGCCUACCAAGGCGACGAUCCGAGCUGGUCUGAGAGGACGAUCAGCCACACUGGAACUGAGACACGGUCCAGACUCUACGGGAGGCAGCAGUUAGGAAUCUUGGGCAAUGGGCGCAAGCCUGACCCAGCCAUGCCGCGUGUGUGAAGAAGG